AAUAUAAAUCAGCUAAAUUAAGCUAGUAGGUUCAUACCCUAAAAAUAUAAUUAUAAAUUAUUUUAUAUAU
This 70-nucleotide transfer RNA is filed under the name Vespa affinis (lesser banded hornet). RNAcentral's name for it is "tRNA-Met". The record is from RNAcentral. Lineage: Eukaryota; Metazoa; Arthropoda; Insecta; Hymenoptera; Vespidae.